RNAcentral lists this ribosomal RNA (497 nucleotides) under uncultured bacterium. RNAcentral's name for it is "partial 16S ribosomal RNA". It matches the Rfam family "Bacterial small subunit ribosomal RNA", at positions 28 to 507 of the family's 1533-position model. The record is from RNAcentral.
GAUGAACGCUGGCGGCGUGCCUAAUACAUGCAAGUCGAGCGAACAGACGAGGAGCUUGCUCCUCUGACGUUAGCGGCGGACGGGUGAGUAACACGUGGAUAACCUACCUAUAAGACUGGGAUAACUUCGGGAAACCGGAGCUAAUACCGGAUAAUAUAUUGAACCGCAUGGUUCAAUAGUGAAAGACGGUUUUGCUGUCACUUAUAGAUGGAUCCGCGCCGCAUUAGCUAGUUGGUAAGGUAACGGCUUACCAAGGCGACGAUGCGUAGCCGACCUGAGAGGGUGAUAGGCCACACUGGAACUGAGACACGGUCCAGACUCCUACGGGAGGCAGCAGUAGGGAAUCGUCCGCAAUGGGCGAAAGCCUGACGGAGCAACGCCGCGUGAGUGAUGAAGGUCUUCGGAUCGUAAAACUCUGUUAUUAGGGAAGAACAAAUGUGUAAGUAACUAUGCACGUCUUGACGGUACCUAAUCAGAAAGCCACGGCUAACUACGUG